Molecule: RNA transcript, 7200 nt
Organism: Musa acuminata AAA Group (dessert banana)
Lineage: Eukaryota; Viridiplantae; Streptophyta; Magnoliopsida; Zingiberales; Musaceae
Gene name: autophagy-related protein 18f-like
Exons: 7
Source: RefSeq, a predicted model, not a curated record
AAAAGAAGGGCAGAAAUCAGAGAGCCGUAAACGGGGAGCUCAGUAUGUUUGGUUCUCUGAUUACGAAGCGAUCCUUUCUUCUCUCCUCCGUCUUCCUCAUCGCCUGCCUUAUUAAAGAAGAUUCGCAUUUCUCCUCAGCUCGCCUUACACUGCUUCUGGCUACGGAAAUAAGGGAGCCCGUCAAUAAAGCGCUUGCUUUUUUCGCUGAUUCGGACUAGGAAUCCGUCGAGAAAGCUGAGAUCUUUAAGCAGGUUUCGUCUUUGUGGCUCCGGGGGCUUGUUUCUGUAGAAAAGAUUCGAUUUUGAUUCUGGUUUAGUUGAGUUUAUUAGUUCUUCUGGGAAAAGUUGGGGUUGUUUCGCACCUAGCUGAGUCUUGGGCUGUUUCUUGGUGCUAAAGAAAGGAAGAAAGGAACAGACUCGGUUUAUGAUCGGAAGCUGUUGUGAGAUUAGAGCGCCUGGCGUUCACAGUUUGGAUCUUUCUUCAUUUUCUUGGGGAUCCGUUGAGUGGUUUGCGGUGGGUGAUGAGGAACGAUGUGCAGAAACGUCAGGGUGGCGGUGUGCCGAGGAAUCACCGCAACGGCAGUAGCAAUGAGGUCUUAUCGGUUCGGUCUUUGUCGAAUUGCAUGAGGAUCGUGUCCUCCGCUGCGUCCAAUGUUGCAUCCACUGUUCGCAAGGCGGGGGUGUCUAUUGUCUCCUCAAUCGCCAACGGCCAUGAUGAUGCGGGCCAUGAUCAGGUGCUUUGGGCAGGAUUUGACAAACUGGAAAUGGAAGGUGAUGUCCACCGACAAGUUCUCUUGUUGGGUUAUGGGUCAGGGUUCCAGGUUUGGGAUGUUGAGCAAGCAGAUGAUGUAAGGCAGUUAGCAUGUAGACAUGAUUUCCCUGCUUCUUUUCUUCAAAUGCAAAAGAAGCCAAUUGCAUUAAAGGGUCUAGUAGAUAGGUUUGCAGAUGUUCGUCCAGUGCUGAUUGUGGUUGGGGAUGGAUACGUUAAUGGAAAUUUCAACAAUUUUGAUGGGUUUGGUUUUUCUUCUAACGGUUCUGUUGGUGGUUGUCAGGAGAUGGAAAGUGACAAUUCUUUGCCUACUUAUGCCCAUUUUUAUUCCUUAAGGACCCAUGAGUAUGAGCAUGUCUUGAAGUUCAACUCAGCUAUUCUCUCUGUUAGGUGCAGUCCUCGAGUUAUUGCUGUUUGUCAAACUUCACAGAUACAAUGUCUUAAUGCUGCAACCCUAGAGAGGGAAAAUAUAAUUGUUACUAAUCCUGUAGCUUCGGCAUCUGUUGUUUCUGGAAGUAUAGGCUAUGGCCCACUUGCAGUUGGCACCAGGUGGUUAGCGUACAGUGGAAUUCCAGUUCCAGUUUCAAGUAAUUGCCCUGUUAGUGCUCAAGAUGUAAGUCCUGCUACGGUGACUCCUUCAAGAGGUAGUCUGAUGGCACAUUUUGCAAGAGAAUCUAGUAAGACACUUGCUGCAGGUUUGGUGACACUUGGAGAUAAGGGGUUGACAACAUUCUCCAAGUAUUACACAGAAUUUGUAGGUGACAAUAAUGGUUUUACAGUGCAUGGGAAUUCCAAUUCAAAUAGCAACAAGAUCAUGCAUAGGGAACCUGCAAACAUGGAAAAUGAUGAAAUGGUCAUAGUUGAAGAUAUUGUCUCUAGAUCAGUGAUAGUUCAGUUUAGGGCACAUAAGAGUCCUAUCUCCGCAUUGUGCUUUGAUCCUAGUGGGACCUUGCUAGUCACUGCUUCUAUCCAUGGCCGUAACAUCAAUGUUUUUCGCAUAAUGCCUUCUCCACAUUCAAAGCCAGAAGGAUCAGGUGCAAAGGGGACUUGCAUCCAUCUUUUCAAGUUACAACGAGGCAUCACAAAUGCGGUUAUACAAGACAUCAGCUUCAGUGAUGACAGUAAAUGGAUAGUGAUCAGCUCGUCAAGGGGUACUAGUCAUUUAUUUGCAAUCUACCCUUCUGGAGGAGCUGCAGACCUUAAGUUCAAUGAGCGUAAUAUUGCAAAUAUCUGCUAUGGAUCAGCUUUGACAACAAAAAUGUCAGUUCAUUUAUCUCAGAAUUCUUGCUCUUCAAAGAUAAGUGAGCAGAGCCUUUAUGGGUCUGGUAGUCCUGUUACAUUAUCAGCUGUAUGCAGAAUAAAGAACGGGAAACCUGGGUUUAAAAGUACCGUUAAUGGGUUAGCAGCAGCUGGUACUGGUAAGAUCAGUCCUUCGCCCGGGGCCAUUGCUUCUGUUUUCCAUUACUGCAAGGGUACUGGUCUUAAUGCCAAUAUCAGCUCACUGAGAAAAAUGUACUACUUUCUUGUUUUCUUUUCUUCUGGCUCUAUCAUACAGUAUGUUCUUCAUCAAUCAAGCAGGGAGUAUUGUGGCACUGAUCAAUCAGGGUUAAGUUCCAUUACUAACGAGUUAUCGCAUGAAGCAUAUUCUAGGUCAGACGUUGAGGCACUUCAGAAAUGGGAUGUUUGUCAUAAGCGGAACAGAAAAGAUGGAUGCGACAAUGUUGAUAUAUAUGGUGAUCAUGGUAGUGGAGAGAAUACUAAAUUUUUAUGUAAAGACACGAGGAAAGAGAUUAGUGUGUAUAACUCUGCUAGUGGUGUUGACUUGAAAACAAAGCUUGCUGCUAAACAAACUCCUCACUUGUACAUAUCUGAGUUCGAGUUGCAUGUUCAUGAAGCUUGGGUUCCCCUAUGGUCAAAGUCUAAGAUUUCCUUUAAUGUGUUGAUGGACCAAAAUAGCAAAGAAGCCUACAGUGGUAAUUCUGUUGGAGAAAUAGAGAUUGAAAGAAUCCCAUGCCGUACAAUUGAAGCUAAACUGAAAGAUCUUGUUCCAGUUUUCGAUCAUCUGCAAUCACCAACAUUCCAGCAACCAAGGUCAGAUGAUUCUGACCUCAUCCCGCAUGGCCCACCUACAUGCCUGAAGACAGGCUUGUCGGAAGUCGGGGAGCAUUCACACCGAAGUAGCUGUAGUUCUCUUGACAGUGUGCCUGAAAAUGCUGUGAUAGCUGAGCUUCCCAAUAGUAACAGCAACGGUGGUUGGACCCGCUCUUCACAAGAUACUGACAAGGGCUUUCUAAGUAAUCAUACAGAUUGCCCAAACAUGGAAAGUAAUCUCGAGUCUGUAAAUAACAAUGAGGGCCUGAAGACUGAGGCCUUGCUCGAGUUUGUAAAUAACACAGAACCUGAAGCUGGAGACACACCUUGAGGACAUCGAUAAUGGCAGACACCAAGGUCUACCUUGAUCUCAGUUCAUAUAAUGAAUUUUCAUUGAACCCUUGCAGAAAAAUAGAGCUUGUUCUAUUGUUUUACCUAUUAUACUUAUUGAAAUAUCUCAAACUAUACCUAGCCUUGUAUGAUGUAUAUCUUUUUCACAAGCAGCUAUCGCGAUGAACCCGUAGGUGGUAUUUCACAGCUAAUCAUAUGGUUAUUUCCUAAUUCUUGUUGCUCCUAUAGCACAUUUACUGCUACAGCUGCAUUGAUGAUGUUGAUAGUUUCUUUGUAACUGGCAGUUUAAUUUUCUUUUUGUGCAGAUGGCACUAUCGAGAGGUAGGAAUUUGUCAAGUAUCAGGUGUUUAGCAGCUUUCUUUUCUUUCUUUUGGUCCCUGUAGGUGUUUAGCCAUUGUUCAUAGAGGCACAUACAUAUACUGGGAAUGUAUAGCCAGGUGGGGUUGAACUUUGGAAGGGAAAGUUUCUUUUAUUUUCCAGAACAUUUGUGAAUGAAGCAAAUUCCAAGAUUGCAAUUCCAAUGACUGUAGUGUAUGAACCAGUGACUAGGCUUCUUCCUCAGUAUCUACUUCAUAAGAAGGGAGACUGAUGUGAUUUGUGUUCAUAUAUAUUUUGUUGUUAUUCUAUGUUGUCCUUCAGUAUAUAUUUUUCUUCAGUAUCCAUUUGGCUUCUAUGUUGUUGUUCUUUUACUUGACACCACUUUGAAUAUUCACCUUACAUAUAUAUCAAUAAGAGAGAGAGAGGUUGGGAAAUGGGCUCUUAGUGGGCCUAUUAAGUUGGGCCUCACACAUGAUAGGCUUUCAGGUUCUUAGCAGUAGUCGAAGGCUCUAAUGGCCCAGCCUCUCUCGUCCCCUCUUUAUCUCUCGUAACUUAGUAGCGCUCCCACUCACCGUUUGGUCUCGGAGCCAAUUCUCUUCUUCCUCCUCGGUGUCGCCGCCCUGGAUUUAGUGCGAAUUCCGCGGUUUCUGGCAUUCCGGUCGGUUCCAGAUCUAUGAGGCAGGGGCCUCUCCACUCUGUGGACCGGCCCCUCACACGGGUUGUUGAUUUCGUCGUCUUGAUGUAGCUUGAGAUGGGUGUUCCUGAGCAAUUCCCCUGUUUGUUCUUCCAAGAAGGUCAGUUUUCCCCAUCCCUUGCGAUUUCGUCUGCAGUUUUGUAUCCGAUAAUUAGAUUUUCUUCAUUUGAUUAUACUCGGGAUGGACUUCUUUUCUCUGUCAAACGCACCAUAAAGGUGGUGACAAUUUUAGUACAGAACUCGAAAUCUAAUUGAUUUCCACGGAAAUGGUUCUGGUUGAAUAGCGACGAAGACCCUCUGUUUCCUGCUUCAAAGGGCUUACCUUUGUUAGAAAUAACUCAUGAGAUCUCGAGCAUGUUCCUUAUAUCGAAUAGAGAUGUUGAUGAUAGAUUUUGUUAGCAGUGCCAUCCAUGUUAUCCACCGUCCCCAAAUCGAAUAACCUAAGGGGGGUCAGAAGAUUGCUGUCAAUUUGCUCACUAUCCCGCUUGUGAGUUUGGCAGUAGGUAUUUGAUUGGGUUCAGCUGUCCAUUUCAGGUCAAGGAAACAUCUUUCAAGAAAUUCACACCACAUUUACAAACUGGUUUUAAUUUACGCCUUUAGUUUGGGACUCCACGACUUUUUUGUUAUAGUCCUUGUUGCCAACAGAUAUUUUUGAUGCUCGAAAGACCAGCCAAUAUGAAGGAAUUUUGGAGGAAACAUUUGAAGCUACAACACAAUCUGAAAGAUGAGGAAUUCCAUAAUUACUUUGAGAAAUUUCAUAACAUUUCUUCAAUCAUAUACGAGAGUUUACAUCUCUGUUAACUAUAGUCUGAUUCAAUAAAAACAACCGACUUGGUGUGCAGAAGAAAGCAGCUUAUUGGAUGAAAUGUACUACAGUGGACUAAAUGCAUUAUGAACUAUAUGAUUCUUACUAAAACUCACAGUAAUAGUCUUUAUGUGUUGGAGUCAAAGCCUGAUCAUCUUCCUCAAACUUAUACAGUACUAUAUUGGCUCUCGGAGAUGCCUUUGGUAACAUUGAGAGUUGCUGUCGUAGACUCAGCAAAUCAAUGUUAUAUCCAGGCACUACCUCUUCUACUCCACUGUCUUGUCCUUCACCAAUCCUUUCUACUUUGUUGUGUCCUGGAGGAGUGACUAGCACCAUGAUCUCUAAAACAACAGCCCUCUGGAGAAGAAAUUUCACCAAACUCAUUUCGCACUUACAUCCUUUGAACUUACACAGCUUAAUCUGCCUCAGAUGGCCAAAAACCACUCCAGAUGGUUCUUGAACUUCUUCUGAUGGAUCAUACAUAUAGGUCAGAUCUUCAGGAAUUGAUGGAAGCUGAAAGGGAAGACAGAUUUUAGUUACAUUAGAUAAAAAGGAUCUGUGAAAUGAAGAUUAAGACAUUGAGAUAAGACCUACUUGAAUAAAAAGUUUCUCAAGGAGUGGGGUGUGGCAGAGCCUGAGGUAGCCAUAGAUGUAUUUGAGGUACUCACUGUUCAUUGAGUCCAUUAGCAACUGCAGUUCUUGCAGAUUCGGCAACACGAGUGGCAAAAGUGCAGCAUCGGUUUCUUCGUAGAUGGUGAAACGCUGUUGAAUAUGGUCGAUUAAGAAUCAUCAAGCCAGGGUGAAUAAUUGUUUUCUCUUAGUAAGUAGCACGAGAUAGUAUUACCAUUAGAGUUGCCGAGCACACUGUUAGGAUCUUGACUUGUGCAAUAUCAGACAUCAGCAUUGUAUAGUCAUGAUAGGGUUCUGUGUGUUCCAUGCCUAUGGAGCUGAUGAAGGCAUCCUCCAGUGAUGGGACAAUGACAUUUGAACUUUCAGAUAAGUUGAAUUCGCUUCCAAAGGCAUAUUCACCAUAGAAGAUGAAGGACUGGAGAUGAGUAGCAGAAAUCUCUAUUUGAUAUGUAUUCCAGCAUUCUACGAAAGCUAACCUCCUAAGCCUGGGGUUCUCAGCAACCAGUUCGAUCGAUUCAAGAGACAGCCAUUCCCUGAGGAUCAAACUCUCUAAGUUUGGGCAGUUGGCUAGUAUGAAUUGUAGCACAUCAUUCGUGAUGUCCACAUCGGCAAGAGACAGAAAUUGAAGGCCACUGAAGCCGGUAAAUCCCAAAGGUGGUUGGACUUCACAGUGGCUCAAACUCAGAUGUGUGAGUGAAUUGCAUGGGUACAAAUGAUCAGGUAAUCUGAAAAACCGAGCUCCAUUGCUGAAUUGAUUAGGUGCCAGAUCAAAGCCCAUGGAAAAGUCCAUCUCAAGUGCUUCGACUCCCUUCGCGAUCGAAAAUGCUAUCCAAUUAUUGAUGUCGGGAAGAAAUAAGUCGAGCGGGCAAAAGUACAGGCGAAGCCUCUCGAGCUUGUUACCUCCGUGAAGCUGUAGGAUUCUGUUGACGACUGCCACAAAUUCUUCUGGGGUUUUGUUGCUCGCAAAUUCUGACCCGAAGUCUAAAGCAGUGGCAGAGAGCUGAAUAAUAGAAUGGAAAGACUGGACGAUGGACUCAGGCAACCCAGCUACCAUCUCCAUGGUUUCUCUCCUAUAUUACAACCAAUUGAUGCUUAUCUGCUGCUAAUGUAGUUCCUCUAAUUAUAAUCCUGUAGGUGGUGGUUGUCAAGGGAAAUCUUUGACCAAGUACUUUUUUCCAUGAGAAGAAUAGUGUCUGUGAUGGACCAGGCAUUCAUCUAAUUCAUGUCCAUUUCUUCCUGCACAAGAUAUUGCUGGUUUCAGAAAUCUUUCAGAGGAAGAUUCUGACAUGAGUCCAUGAGAACUUUCAAAAGCUCUGUGGAACGCUGAAGGUGGCCAUCACCAUGGGUGGCGGGUGUGUGAGACGUCAAAAAUUAUGUGCCUAAAAUUAAUACCUUGUGUGUGAGACUUGUAAGAGUUCUUCGACAAGUUGGAUUGAGAUUACUUGUUGCUUGUCUUUUGGGUGGAUAUACAUGGAUUCGUGAACUUUGUAGUGCUACAAGUAAUAUGAAUAUAUCAUCAUCAAAUUAUUGUUUUUGGUGUAAA